Molecule: ribosomal RNA, 320 nt
Filed under: uncultured eukaryote
Lineage: Eukaryota
Description: partial 18S ribosomal RNA
Rfam family: Eukaryotic small subunit ribosomal RNA
Source: RNAcentral
CCCUUAGAUGUUCUGGGCUGCACGCGCGCUACACUGACAUACUCAGCAAGUUUCCUUUCCCGAAAGGGUUCGGUAAUCUUGUUAGUGUAUGUCGUGAUGGGGAUAGAAUAUUGUAAUUAUUGCUCUUUAACGAGGAAUUCCUAGUAAGCGCAAGUCAACAGCUUGCGCUGAUUACGUCCCUGCCCUUUGUACACACCGCCCGUCGCUCCUACCGAUUGGGUGAUCCGGUGAAUGGUUCGGACUCUGGCUAUGCUAGCUACUAGCUACGUCAGGGAAAGUUCUGUGAACCUUAUCACUUGGAGGAAGGAGAAGUCGUANCA